Molecule: ribosomal RNA, 344 nt
Filed under: Conticribra weissflogii
Lineage: Eukaryota; Bacillariophyta; Thalassiosirophyceae; Thalassiosirales; Thalassiosiraceae
Description: partial Bacterial small subunit ribosomal RNA
Rfam family: Bacterial small subunit ribosomal RNA
Source: RNAcentral
CCCUUAUAGGUUGGGCUACACACGUGCUACAAUGGGAAUGACAAAAAGUAACAAAAAUGAAAGUAUUUAGUUAAUCUUUAAAAGUUUUCUUAGUUCGAAUUGUAAACUGCAACUCGUUUACAUGAAGAUGGAAUCACAAGUAAUCGCAAAUCAGAACGUUGCGGUGAAUACGUACCUUGGCUUUGUACACACCGCCCGUCACAUGCAGAAAGUUAAUUUUACUUGAAAAUUACAUUUUUAUUUUUGUUUAAUAGAAAAUAAUAAAGUUGUAGUUCAUUGAAAAGUUAACAAUUUGGAUGAAGUCGUAACAAGGUAGCUGUACGGGAACGUGUAGCUGGAACAGC